UGGAUAUGCAUAUGAUACUCCGCAUGUGUCAAGAAUGAUUAUAUGAUAAAGGUCUGAAAGUAAUUAUUUUUAAAUAAAAAUGUGACUUGGAUAUAUGAAAUAAUUAGGUGAUAUUCAUGUAAUGUAAUAAUCUUUUGUUCUUUUAUUAAGUUAGUCUUUUACAUAUAGUGUUUGUCAUUUUUUAUAGUUAUACUGUAUAUUAGUUUUCCACUUGGAUGACUGCAUGUUAGACUGAUUAAAAAUAAAAACUAUGAUCAAACUUGAACUAGUCUAGCUUGUGGUCAUCCUGUCACGGACUUAGCUGGUUUUGCCUAAGUCGUGCGGCACCCUUGCGUGCCCGUCCGCAAAGGUCAGCCUCCCCGAAGCCUCUCAUUGUCCCUUAGGACCAACAAAAGUGAGAACGAGUUAGAGAGAACGCCUCAAUCGGGAUCCACAAGCAAACAUCUCCAAAAAACACUUCAUAGACAAUGUAAAUUACAAACAGACUUUACAAGCUCUGAACAGUUGCACAACAAAGGGUAAAAUGGUCCAUUACAGACCGAAAAUCUCUCGCACAUGUCCACAUGACACAACCUUUAUUUACAAGCCUAAAGAGGCCACUAACUCAAAUAAAAUGAGAAUAUUAUGCCUUCGGCCGCCCCUCUACAUGCUGUACAAGGCAUGAACAUGCCAAAAGACACGGACAUACAUAAACAUUACAUCAAACAUCCUGUUUCGAAGUUUGUCAGUGACAUUCUCCCCCACUUAUUCCUUCGACGUCCUCGUUGAAGCCUUUGUCGACACUAUAACUCCUCGCCUUUACUUAGUCUUCAAUCUUCUGCUCCAGCUACAAUACGCCUCUUGGCUCCUUGCUGCUCUCCGCUAUUGUUUUUGAGUAGUCGAACCUUUGAUUUGCUAUGCUGCUUCAACUCACCAAUGACUCUGACUCUGGUGUGGGGUUGGCUGAGUUGUGUUGAUCCUUGUUGAUUCCUGCGGAUCCCCCAGAUGAAGGAAAAGACCAUCCUUACUGCGCCAGUAUCUCAAAUUCCUUAUGCUGCUUGAACUGGGUGGAUGCUUGUUAGAGCUUUUAACGAGCAUCGUCUCGCAAACUGCUGAAGUUUUGGGUCCUUCCUCCACAAAAUUUACUCAUUAACUCUUCUUUCACUUAAUUGUCAUAUCCAAGUAGGUUCGCAUCACUUUCGAUUUCGAUUGGCAUUUCGUUGGGAAAUGAAGCGGACAAUCUACUCUCAGUAGCACUGAUCACCAUUGGUGAGGAUUUGACAACUAUUGUCUUCCAUUGUCUUCGAAAGGUCUUUGAACUUGUGCAGAGCUCCUCUUCUGGAUAGAUAAGAGAAUUGGGGUACUCGGUUUCGCCCAUUCUCUUAAGGGUUGAGAAGGCAAAGGUUACUUGACUUCGCCCGCCUCCUCGAGGUUGUACUCCAUACAUCGAGCUGGUUACUAGCCUUCGCCUGCUCUUUGCUCACACUUCUGAAGCACUUGAAGUGUUUGCACUCCUUGCAUUGAGUUAGUUACUGUGAUUCACCUUCUCAAUGCCAUCGAACUUCUGGAAUGCAGGAAGUUUUCACCCUAACUUGGAGUAAUUCUCUCAUAGGUUUGGUCACCUCUGGGAUUGUACCGUCUUCUCCAUCAACCCUGCCGCCUACUCCACUGAGUAGCACCGUGUACUGCCUACUUCGUUCCUUGGUUAUGCACUCUUGCAUGACCCGAAGUCUUUCACUUUCGGCUAUCUUGAUGAGAAGCUCAUUGACACCGGUCUUACGAAGUUCCUCGGCCUCUGCCCUUCAGCCUUGUCUCGGUACUUGGAGAUUGCCUCUGCAUGCUCCACCUCCUCGGCCCCUUUCACGACCAAGCGCUCUCCCUCCAUGAGAGCAAGGGAUCAAUGACUUUCAUGGAAGUCUCGCCGCUGCGGUACCAUGGAGCUGUUAUGCCCAUGGCCCUACUAUCCGUUGCCUCGCAUCUGCAUCCCUUUUCUUCAUGAUCAGUAGAUAUGUCUCUGUGGCACUCCUCUGAGUCCACCUCCAUUCUAACUGAUGCUUGAUUUUGGGUAGCUAAGUCUCUCUUGACUUGUCGUCGCUUCCUCGCCCCUUUCGACCCCCUGCUUCAACACCUCUGUGUUCUCCAAGCAGCUCCCUCUGGUCGAUGGAAAGACAGACUACAACUCACAUGCAUGGCCUCUGCCAUCAUGUUGUAGGGUUUGCACCGAUUCUGUUCUCCUUAGCUUCCUUGGUAGCAACGUUCGCUUACUCGACCUUGUCCUCUGACUUGUCGGGCUCCCUUAAGUGAAUAUGAGCUCUGGAGUAGUCCAACUCUCCAGCUGCUUCGAUCAUACCUCUGCAUGAUCAAGUCCCUCCCAUGGAACUCACUGGUACUUGCAUUCGAACUUUUUCCUUGGUGGAACACAGCCCCCAUAUGCUGAUGACCAAGAUUUUCAUCCGAUGCAAAAUUCGAUGCACGCCCGGAAGACCCGCCUUUGCGGUACCAUGACCUUCACUCGAAUCCAUAGCCCUUCUUGUCGUCGUGUUGUUCACCGAAGUGGAGCUUCCAGUAGCUCCCGAUCAUAUCUCCAUAUGAUCUUGUCCCUCACGGGUCUAGGUCGUGUGUAUUGCAUUGCCACGAAUUGUUCCACCACGAUCCGCUGCACCAUGUCGCCUCCUGGUGACAUCUACAUUACAUUCUGAUCCUUGUGGAAUAAACUCGAAUUGUGAACCCUUCAUGUGUGGCCUCUGCCAAUACAUCGCAGGGUCUCUUCCACCUUCGAUUUUGUUCGCUCCUUUGGCAAUCGACCUUUAUCCACCCACUCUUGGGUCACACCUAGAUGAAGCACCGCUCUAGGACAGUCCGUCGCCUAAUAGCUCCCGAAGUCCACCGACUUCACUGUAAUUUAUGCACCAUUGUCUGGAUCCUGGGCCUCUGCCCCUACCAGCACAAUCUCCGCUGCGCACCACUUCCUUCAUGGCAACUUGAAUGGCAACACUGUGGCAUAUUCUUCAAGAGCGCCUGCCUCUGCAUCCUCUUGCCCCGUGCUAAGGCCUUCUGAACCCAACUUUGCCUCCGCAAAUUGAGUCGCCUUAGUUCCUCCAUCAAAUGCUUUUCCGAGAUAAAGUGCAUGUGCCCAGAAGCUCCCUUCGCCUUUGGCACCAUGCAAGAUGAGUCCAUUCCAUCAGAAUGAAGGACCCAUGGAACAACAUGAUCCUACUCUUGCCUUUGCAAGAGUUCAUGUCCUUGACCUCUGUCUAAGGAAAGCAUUGUGCCUCUGCUCCAUGUUCCAACUUCUCUGCUGGCUCCCUUCAUGCGGCUUGGGUACUUCGCCAAGUUACACCCAAGUUGCUCCGCUCCUCGUUUUCACAUUGAGUCGAUGGUGGUCCUCAUGCCCACCAUUCCACGGGUCAGCCCUCCCUUGAGUCCGAUCUCCACAUCGACUCCAAAUGUGCCUUCAUUUAAGUUGCUUUGGGUCGCUCCCCCACUUGAUCUUGUAAUGCAUCCACCAAUGCAUUCUCUCGAGCGAGAUCAUGCAACGACUCCUCGCUGCUUGCUCAGUCCAUUGAGCUUCGUGGAGUUGUUGUUUGUUGAGGUACUCCUCCUCAACUUGUGAGGUCCGUCCCACAUGAUUCUCCUUNNNNNNNNNNNNNNNNNNNNUGUUGAACUCGUUGCACACUUCAGCCUCCUAUGGACAUAUCCUUCACAUGCCGAAGAGAAAGUUUCAAUGCUCCAUGGCGCCGAGUUUCGGUCGCCUUGCGAUGGCCACGAACAUUCCAUCGUCCGCAUACAAGCCCAUGCAUGAGUACCGAAUUCUUUGAGUUAGCAAUUCCCCUCACCUCUGUGAGCUUUUGCAUAACUCUUUCGAUCGCUGAGCAACUCAUUCCACCUUGGAUGGUCUCAUCUUUUACCAAGCGCCUCACUUGCCUUGAGCACCAUCAAGUAUAGUUGUCAACGUUGAGCCGUAGCUCAAACUCAGCCAUCCCAACCUUUGUGCGCUCCGCAUUCUUCCAAGCUUGCCUGUUCUCGUGGUGCCUCUUGCGCGAAGGGUUGGCCAUUCCUCUGAAUGCCAAUGUCAGAUGCCCGCUCCUCCGAGCGACUCCUUUUCCCUACAUCUCCAUGCCCGUUUUCCCCCAAACGAUCGCGCGUGUGCUGACUGCCCUCAACGCAGCCCCGCUAGGUCCCCCACGUUUGCAUGCUAAGUGUUUUUAUGAGUGCUUGUCCAGCUCUGAUACCAUCUGUCACGGACUUAGCUGGUUUUGCCUAAGUCGUGUGGCACCCUUGCGUGUCCGUCCGUAAAGGUCAGCCUCCCCGAAGCCUCCCAUUGUCCCUUAGGACCAACAAAAGUGAGAACGGGUUAGAGAGAACGCCUCAAUUGGGAUCCACAAGCAAACAUCUCCAAAAAAUACUUCAUAGACAAUGCAAAUUACAAACAGAUUUUACAAGCUCUGAACAGUUGCACAACAAAGGGUAAAAUGGUCCAUUACAGACCGAAAAUCUCUCGCACGUGUCCACAUGACACAACCUUUAUUUACAAACCUAAAGAGGCCACUAACCCAAAUAAAAUGGGACUAUUAUGCCUUCGGCCGCCCCUCUACAUGCUGUACAAGACAUGAACAUGCCAAAAGACACGGACAUACAUAAGCAUUACAUCAAACAUCCUGUUUCGAAGUUUGUCCGUGACAAUCUGGUGGAUCAUCACAUCUCAGAUUUCGGGGUGUGACAUAAUAGGAGCUAACAUUAUCAAUAGAUGAUGCUUUUCUAGUUUGUGCAUAUUGGGCAUUCAAUAUUUUUUAACAUUUGAUCUGUCUGUGACUAAUUUGUUAUCUUUGUUAUAUUUUUUAACGAUAAUGAGCAUAACUUCGUCUUCUUUGCAUAUUCUUGGCUUCAGUCGGGCUUUUUCAUUCAUGCACAGUAUUCCCUGCUGCUUUAGUUUAGCAUCUCAAAGGUGUGAAAUUAGAGGAGCUCAUUUGAUGCUGCUUGAUAUUCUCCAUUUCUUUCAAAUUAUGACAAUCAUCUGUAAUUUAAUUUCUCCCACUGUCAAAAUGAUAUGAUUGUGUGUUACUGCUACACUUUUUGUAGUGUUAGAACAUGAAAUUUAGAUAAAUGAACUGGGUGGAAUCUUCUUCUUAAAGUUUUCCUUUUUAUUUGCGGACUGAUACUGAUUGCUGGCUUUUAUCAGAUUCUGGAUUUAGUAUUACAGACAUGUGGAAGACAACAGGUAUCCUUUUUAAGUUAUUGCUCAUUUCAUCCUUUCUGACCAGUUUCAAACGUCACUUGGAACUCAGCUCAAAUUUUAGCAGGGGUAGAAUGGGAUGGAAUCAGCGAGUUUAGUACAGAUGACAUUGUUACGGUUAGUGCUAGCACACCUUAGCUGCAGGUUCCAUCUGGUGUUAUGGGGACUGGUACACUGUAAUCUAGAGAUAGAAGAUUCGUUUGUUGGUGGGGACAAUCAGGUUCCAUCAAGAUCCCCAACAUCACUGCCACAAAGAUCAAGCUUGGUAACAAUCUGAUGAUCGAUGGUUUUGGUGGUGAGGAUAUUUGCAAGAGCAGUAUCGAUUGCCAGAAGGAACAGCUGCAGUUACUGUGUACAGUAUAAUAGUAAAUCUUGGUGUAUUAUUGUUCAUGCCUGAUAUUGAGUGAGUCCUCACUUAUUAGUUCAUAGGUUUCAGAUAUGGUUGUUGGCUUCUGCCAAGUGACUGCAUCAUAUAUACACCACUGAUCUUGAGUCCAAUCUUGUUUGAAGAGUUUAGAGAACAAAAUCUCUUGGGUUGUGUGCAUUCUAUGUAUAGAGACUAGAAAGAGCUCUUGGACCUGUCCUUCAACGGUCCAUCUUUCUGGAGGACACAAGGAAGUGUGUGCGUCAAACAUGCAUGCAAACGGUUGUAUCCUGUUAGGUUGCAACUAUGAGUGCAUUUGAUCACUGUAUUUAAACUAUGUUAUUGGUUUCCAUACAAUUUGCUCCUACAUUUUACCAAUAUGAUGCAAGACCCUUUGCAGUCC
RNAcentral lists this long non-coding RNA (5979 nucleotides) under Musa acuminata (dwarf banana). RNAcentral describes it as "long non-coding RNA (MACU_LNC002712)". Lineage: Eukaryota; Viridiplantae; Streptophyta; Magnoliopsida; Zingiberales; Musaceae. The record is from RNAcentral.